UACGGAGGGGACUAGCGUUAAUCGGAAUUACUGGGCGUAAAGCGCACGUAGGUGGCGACGUAAGUCGGGUGUGAAAGCCCCGGGCUCAACCUGGGAAUUGCAUUCGAGACUGCAUUGCUGGAGUACGGAAGAGGAAGGCGGAAUUCCCGGUGUAGCGGUGAAAUGCGUAGAUAUCGGGAGGAACAUCAGUGGCGAAGGCGGCCUUCUGGUCCAGUACUGACACUCAAGUGCGAAAGCGUGGGGAGCAAACAGG
Molecule: ribosomal RNA, 253 nt
Filed under: uncultured bacterium
Lineage: Bacteria
Description: partial 16S ribosomal RNA
Rfam family: Bacterial small subunit ribosomal RNA
Source: RNAcentral